RNAcentral lists this ribosomal RNA (254 nucleotides) under uncultured bacterium. Its description in RNAcentral is "partial 16S ribosomal RNA". It matches the Rfam family "Bacterial small subunit ribosomal RNA", at positions 524 to 776 of the family's 1533-position model. The record is from RNAcentral.
UACGGGGGGAGCAAGCGUUGUUCGGAUUUACUGGGCGUAAAGGGCGCGUAGGCGGUCAGCACAAGUCAGUUGUGAAAACUGGAGGCUUAACCUCCAGACGUCGACGGAAACCGCGUGGCUAGAGUCCGGAAGAGGAGAGUGGAAUUCCUGGUGUAGCGGUGAAAUGCGCAGAUAUCAGGAAGAACACCAAUGGCGAAGGCAGCUCUCUGGGGCGGUACUGACGCUGAGACGCGAAAGCGUGGGGAGCGAACAGG